UGGGGAAUAUUGCACAAUGGGCGCAAGCCUGAUGCAGCCAUGCCGCGUGUAUGAAGAAGGCCUUCGGGUUGUAAAGUACUUUCAGUCGGGAGGAAGGUGUCAAGGUUAAUAACCUUGGCAAUUGACGUUACCGACAGAAGAAGCACCGGCUAACUCCGUGCCAGCAGCCGCGGUAAUACGGAGGGUGCAAGCGUUAAUCGGAAUUACUGGGCGUAAAGCGCCCGCAGGCGGUUGAUUGAGUCAGAUGUGAAAUCCCCGGGCUUAACCAGGGAAUUGCAUCUGAUACUGGUCAGCUAAGGUCUUGUAGAGGGGGGUAGAAUUCCAUGUGUAGCGGUGAAAUGCGUAGAAGUGUGGAGGGAUACCGGUGGCGAAGGCGGCCCCCUGGACAAAGACUGACGCUCAGGUGCGAAAGCGUGGGGAGCAAACAGG
This 429-nucleotide ribosomal RNA is filed under the name Chloroflexota bacterium. RNAcentral's name for it is "Chloroflexi bacterium partial 16S ribosomal RNA". It matches the Rfam family "Bacterial small subunit ribosomal RNA", at positions 355 to 776 of the family's 1533-position model. Lineage: Bacteria; Bacillati; Chloroflexota. The record is from RNAcentral.